Molecule: transfer RNA, 68 nt
Filed under: Nesophrosyne haleakala
Lineage: Eukaryota; Metazoa; Arthropoda; Insecta; Hemiptera; Cicadellidae
Description: tRNA-Gly
Source: RNAcentral
AUUCAAUUAGUAUAUAUAAAAACAGUAUAUUAAGCUUCCAACUUAAAGGAUUAAAAAUAAAUUGAAUA